Molecule: ribosomal RNA, 616 nt
Filed under: Staphylococcus warneri
Lineage: Bacteria; Bacillati; Bacillota; Bacilli; Caryophanales; Staphylococcaceae
Description: bacterial SSU rRNA
Rfam family: Bacterial small subunit ribosomal RNA
Source: RNAcentral
CCGCGUGAGUGAUGAAGGUCUUCGGAUCGUAAAACUCUGUUAUCAGGGAAGAACAAAUGUGUAAGUAACUGUGCACAUCUUGACGGUACCUGAUCAGAAAGCCACGGCUAACUACGUGCCAGCAGCCGCGGUAAUACGUAGGUGGCAAGCGUUAUCCGGAAUUAUUGGGCGUAAAGCGCGCGUAGGCGGUUUUUUAAGUCUGAUGUGAAAGCCCACGGCUCAACCGUGGAGGGUCAUUGGAAACUGGAAAACUUGAGUGCAGAAGAGGAAAGUGGAAUUCCAUGUGUAGCGGUGAAAUGCGCAGAGAUAUGGAGGAACACCAGUGGCGAAGGCGACUUUCUGGUCUGUAACUGACGCUGAUGUGCGAAAGCGUGGGGAUCAAACAGGAUUAGAUACCCUGGUAGUCCACGCCGUAAACGAUGAGUGCUAAGUGUUAGGGGGUUUCCGCCCCUUAGUGCUGCAGCUAACGCAUUAAGCACUCCGCCUGGGGAGUACGACCGCAAGGUUGAAACUCAAAGGAAUUGACGGGGACCCGCACAAGCGGUGGAGCAUGUUGUUUAAUUCGAAGCAACGCGAAGAACCUUACCAAAUCUUGACAUCCUUUGACCGCUCUAGA